RNAcentral lists this ribosomal RNA (642 nucleotides) under uncultured bacterium. Its description in RNAcentral is "bacterial SSU rRNA". It matches the Rfam family "Bacterial small subunit ribosomal RNA", at positions 139 to 741 of the family's 1533-position model. The record is from RNAcentral.
GGGGAUAACCCGGGGAAACUCGGGCUAAAACCGCAUAAUCUCUGAGGAGCACCACUGCCUUACCAACUUAAUGUAUUUUUUAAUUAAGAUAUAUUAAGUGGUAAGGUGGUGCUUUAGGAGGGGCCUACGUUGGAAUAGCUUGUUGGUAGGGUAAAGGCCUACCAAGGCGAUGAUCUAUAGCUGGUCUGAGAGGAUGAUCAGCCACACUGGGACUGAGACACGGCCCAGACUCCUACGGGAGGCAGUAGAGGAAAAUAUUGCACAAUGGGGGCAACCCUGAUCCAGCGAUGCCGCGUGUGUGAAGAAGGCCUGCGGGUUGUAAAGCACUUUUAAUGGUGAGGAAUAGGGCAUUAUAAAUAGUAAUGUCUAAUGACGUUAGCCAUAGAAUAAGCACCGGCAAACUCUGUGCCAGCAGCCGCGGUAAUACAGAGGGUGCGAGCGUUAAUCGGAAUGACUGGGCGUAAAGGGCACGUAGGCGGUUUAUCAAGUUAGAUGUGAAAUACCAGGGCUUAACCUUGGGGCUGCAUCUAAGACUGAUGAACUAGAGUUCACUAGAGGGGAGUGGAAUUUCCGGUGUAGCGGUGAAAUGCGUAGAUAUCGGAAGGAACACCAGUGGCGAAGGCGACUCUCUGGAGUUGAACU